RNAcentral lists this ribosomal RNA (253 nucleotides) under uncultured bacterium. RNAcentral's name for it is "partial 16S ribosomal RNA". It matches the Rfam family "Bacterial small subunit ribosomal RNA", at positions 524 to 776 of the family's 1533-position model. The record is from RNAcentral.
UACGUAGGGGGCAAGCGUUAUCCGGAUUUACUGGGUGUAAAGGGAGCGUAGGUGGAUUGUUAAGUCAGUUGUGAAAGUUUGCGGCUCAACCGUAAAAUUGCAGUUGAAACUGGCAGUCUUGAGUACAGUAGAGGUGGGCGGAAUUCGUGGUGUAGCGGUGAAAUGCGUAGAUAUCAGGAGGAACACCAGUGGCGAAGGCGGCUUACUGGACUGUAACUGACGUUGAGGCUCGAAAGCGUGGGGAGCAAACAGG